AGUGAACGCUGGCGGUAGGCCUAACACAUGCAAGUCGAACGGCAGCACAGUAAGAGCUUGCUCUUACGGGUGGCGAGUGGCGGACGGGUGAGGAAUACAUCGGAAUCUACUUUUUCGUGGGGGAUAACGUAGGGAAACUUACGCUAAUACCGCAUACGACCUACGGGUGAAAGCAGGGGAUCUUCGGACCUUGCGCGAUUGAAUGAGCCGAUGUCGGAUUAGCUAGUUGGCGGGGUAAAGGCCCACCAAGGCGACGAUCCGUAGCUGGUCUGAGAGGAUGACAGGCCAAACUGAACUGAGACACGGUCCAGACUCCUACGGGAGGCAGCAGUGGGGAAUAUUGGACAAAGGGCGCAAGCCUGAUCCAGCCAUACCGCGUGGGUGAAGAAGGCCUUCGGGUUGUAAAGCCCUUUUGUUGGGAAAGAAAAGCAGCAGGUUAAUACCCCGCUGUUCUGACGGUACCCAAAGAAUAAGCACCGGCUAACUUCGUG
This 491-nucleotide ribosomal RNA is filed under the name uncultured bacterium. Its description in RNAcentral is "partial 16S ribosomal RNA". It matches the Rfam family "Bacterial small subunit ribosomal RNA", at positions 29 to 507 of the family's 1533-position model. The record is from RNAcentral.